Molecule: long non-coding RNA, 733 nt
Organism: Poecilia latipinna (sailfin molly)
Lineage: Eukaryota; Metazoa; Chordata; Actinopteri; Cyprinodontiformes; Poeciliidae
Exons: 2
Source: RefSeq, a predicted model, not a curated record
AGCCGUCAGAGAAACAGCUGAACCUGGACAGAACAUCUCUCUGCCAUGUAGACUUCCUGGUAACAAACCUGCUGCUGCUGUGGACUGGAUCAGAACCGAUCUGGGCUCAGGAUAUGUUCUUCUGUACCGAGACGGUCGGAUUGAUCCAGAAAACCAGAACCCAUCGUAUCAGAACCGGGUGGAUCUGAUGGACCGACAGGUGAAGGAUGGAGACGUGUCUCUGGUUCUGAAGAACCUGACCACUAACGAUACGGGACUAUAUCAGUGCCGAGUCCAGAAGGAAGGAAGCCUUGAUGCUGAACUGAUCAGAACCAUCAACCUGCAGGUUCUUCCUCCAGGGGACAAAGAUGGAGGAACCAAUGAUGGAUCCAUCGGACUGAUUGUUGGUCUGAUCUUAUUAGCUUUUGCUGUUGCUGGUGUUUCAUUUCUGAUCUAUAAAAAACAAUCAGCUUGUUUCAGGAAGAAAACCUCAAAUCCUCUAGUUGAUCUGUAGAUUUGCUGUAAAUGCCUUUAAUCUGAGGACAUGAUCAGAUUAUUGUUUCUGCUGGAUUUCUAAACCAAAUCAGGGCAGCAACAUCAGGAUGCUGCCAUUUCAUUCUUGCUGCCUGACAGAAAAUAUAUUUUUUUUCUGUGAAAUAUGUCAACUUUUAAAAGUUAUUAUUCAAUCUGAAAUGUGUUGCCUCUCUGUCUCCCUUUUAACUCCUCUGCUAAUAAAAACUACAUUUGACUAAAU